UUCACCCGAAGGCGCUACGCUAACCCGCAAGGGAGGCAGGCGACCACGGUAAGGUCAGCGACUGGGGUGAAGUCGUAACAAGGUAGCCGUAGGUGAACCUGCAGAAGGAUCA
This 112-nucleotide ribosomal RNA is filed under the name uncultured eukaryote. Its description in RNAcentral is "partial small subunit ribosomal RNA". It matches the Rfam family "Bacterial small subunit ribosomal RNA", at positions 1416 to 1525 of the family's 1533-position model. The record is from RNAcentral.